Long non-coding RNA from Hippopotamus amphibius kiboko, 414 nucleotides. RefSeq lists it as uncharacterized. The transcript has 3 exons. NCBI's taxonomy places the organism in Eukaryota, Metazoa, Chordata, Mammalia, Artiodactyla, Hippopotamidae. The record is from RefSeq and is a predicted model, not a curated record.
GGGGGGGCAAGGAUAAAGGUGAAGAAUUAGAGUGAAGAAGACUUUGAACUAGUAACAGUGGCAGCCGCGGUGACCAGACUUGUGUGACCCUUAGAGGCAGAAGGAGUCUGGAAGUAACCAGCUGCUGGUGGUAUUGGUUCAGCAGCUCAAUGAUAUCACAUUUGCAAAAUGACUGCCCCAGCUUCAGCCAUCCCCUCCUUGUCCAAGGCAGGAAAAAUGAGGUGGCGCAGUGGUUAAGAAUCCCCCUGCCAAUGCAGGGGACAUGGGUUCAAUCCCUGCUCCAGGAAGAUCCCACAUGCCUUGCAGCAACUAAGCCCGUGCGCCACAGCUAUUGAGCCUGCGCUUUAGAGCCCGUGAGCCACAACUAUUGAGCCCAUGUGCUGCAGCUACUGAAACCCAUGCGCCUAGAGCCCG